GGAGCAGUAGCUCAGUGGUAGGGCUCCUUCUUCGUAUGCGGCAACACCUGGGUUAGAUUCCCAGCUGCUUCC
RNAcentral lists this transfer RNA (72 nucleotides) under Toxocara canis (dog roundworm). It matches the Rfam family "tRNA". From Rfam's summary of the family: Transfer RNA (tRNA) molecules are approximately 80 nucleotides in length. Lineage: Eukaryota; Metazoa; Nematoda; Chromadorea; Rhabditida; Toxocaridae. The record is from Rfam by way of RNAcentral.